UAGUAUUCACUUGUGAAGUUAGGUACGUUCCCAAAUUUGGGAUAAAUACAACAUAUCCCUUCCCUUUUCCUUUGCAACUACCUCUCCAUCGAAACGGCCCCCAAUUUUGUAGCUAGGGUUAGGGUAUGGUUCCUCAUAUAAAUCUGCGCCUCAGCGUUACUUGAUAUUCUUCUAUAUAACCCAAGUGCUGAUUGAAUCUUUCAAAUCAAUACGCUCUCUCUGUCGCCGAUCAACAAGUUUCUGUGAUGUUUCUUAGUUCCUCUUUCGCCUUCGUAUUGUAGCUAAAGUUCCGAUCUUUCUUCCAUUUUUUGGAAUUGAUGGACAUGUUCAUUAACCUAGAUAUUUUCUUUCUUUCUUGUGAAUGUUUAAUCUUUAUUAUGCCUUUAACAAAUUUACUUGAUAACUAUAAUACCCUUUCUGCAUCUUUCUUGUCACUCUCUAUGAGUUCAAUUUGUAGCAAUACUCUGUCUCUGUUAUUGUUUUGCCUUGCAUAUGUAUACAUGCAUAUAUUUAUAUACACACACAAUUUGCUAUUAUUGAAGUAAAAAUGAUGGGUUGCAAUGAUUAUAAAAAUUCGUAGUUCUGAAUGCUAUUGCCAUGGCAUGAUAGACACAUUUACACCCAUAGAAUAUGAGCACCCACCUAAUUAUAUAUAUAUAAUUUUAUUUUAUUUUUUUAUUUUUUCCUCAAUGAAUACUUUCUUGGCAUUCUAGAACAACUCACCCCAGUUUUAGAAGUAAUUUUUUUUUUAAUUAUUGUACCCUUUUUGAGAAUUAGAUGGGCUGGUCUGUUCCAAGUUGUUGUGACUUUAGCAACACAUGUUGGUAGAUUUAUAAUUAAUUUUGAUUUAAAUCAGAGAUGAACGAGUCGGACAUACACCCUAGGAGACACCCUAGUACAUGUUCCUCGACACGGAGGGCAUCCCUGACUUGUUUAUUGGCAUAUGCCAAUGACAAUUGUAGUAAGAAACUAUCAAUAAUUAUGGGAUGAUAUGCUUUUGUCGGGUGUUUAGUGGAAUCUGACACCCUACAUUACAAACAUGCUCAAGUAUAAGUUAUUAAUGUAUUGACAUAAGAACAAUUCUGGCUCAGUUCACUAUAUUGUGAACUGUUCUGUUUUCACAGUUUUUAGGUACUAAUUUAUACUGCUUGAUUUGUGAUCUGAAUUCCAUUCUCAAGCCUAGCUCAUUAAGUUUAAUGAAGGAGAACGUGGUCAAUAGGUAGGACCUAAAACUUGUCAUACUUUAAGAAAAUUCUCUUUGAAUCUGUAUACAUCUCGUGUUUAAUUUGAUAUCAUCAGAUUUGAUAUCGUUUUCAUUGUCUAUAUGAAGUUACAUGUUUAUCAUAUAAGAACUUUUACAUAUUGGCAGAAGUAAGUGUAGUCAAAUUUCGAAACACUAUUAUGAUUUUACACUUAAAUAACUUUGAUUGUCUUAGGUUGAUAGGUUGAUGAUAUGAGGUUGUCACUGUAAUAGGCUAGCAAAUUGAGGUUUUCAGUCUGCUUUAUUAUGGUAUGUUUCUUAUACAGCAAAUGUUGGUAAUCCUUCUUCAUUUCCAUCUCUCCUCUCUCUCUACAUGCAAAUUCACUUACUUUGGGUCUAGUUUUAUUGGAAGUGAAUUUGAAUUUGGACUUCUUUUGAGAUGGCAAUGAUAAAUUAUUGUUUUAAAAAUAAAAAGUAUCACUUUCCAUGCAGAAAGAGAAGCUUCACCAUAUCUUUUGAUGAUCACAUUAUAUCUUAUUGGGCUUCACCGUAUGUAGAUGCUGUUAUAAACGGAAGCUUCUAUUUGCUAACCAACAUCGGUUGCUUCUCCCUGAAGAUGAAUAUUCUCUUUACGUGUAUGAUUUUCUCAACUUGGGUUUGUUUUUAGGUACCAAUUUUGAUUUGAAGGAAUGAACGAGAAGUAAUAAAAGAAAGCAGAUGUUUGUCAAGGUGGUGUAGUGAUAGUAACAUUUGACAUUAUGCAACAUAUGUAUAAUUUUAUGCCUUGGUAUAUUUAUAUUUUUUGUUGUAUUUGCUUGUACUUGAACUACUUUUAUGUUUAUAGCUAAAGGUAAAUUGCUUUUAGAAGUUGGUAGUUUUUAUUUUUAUUUUUUUUAUUUUUAUUUACAAUAGAAUAUUUUAGUCGUUUAAUUCAAAGGAGUUUGGCUUUGUGAUCCUCAUGGCAUUAACAAACUUUGGUUGCUGUGUGAUUGGCCUCUCCUAAAAUUUAUAUGGUGGUGUUUAAAGCCCUAAUCUGUCAAAAUAAAAAAUUCAGAGGUUAGGGUUACGCAUACCGCCACAUGAUUUGAAAAAAAAAAAGACCCCUAAAUUCUCCCCUCAUGUUUUAUGCUACGUUAAUAAACUGAUUAUUUAAAAAAAAAAUCAUGAUUUCAUUUAGUUCAUUAAGUAGAUAUAUGUCAACCUUUGGACAUCAUGUAACAUAUGCAUAUUGUUUGUCAAUUAAAGGAAAUACUGUUGUUUCUCUGUUUUGACUAUGUUGGUCAGUAUAUUUGUACUUCAUCUUCCUAAUUAGUUGGCUCUCAACCCAAGCCAUAGAGCACGAAGGUGCUGCGAUAUGGAUGUGCAUGAGCUUGACACAGAAAUGGGUGAUAUAUAGUGAUUUUAAUUUUAUUUAUUUAUAUAUUUAUUUUUGUCUAUUUCCCUUUUUGGGGGGUAUUUAUGUAAUUUUACGCUAUCCUUAACUCGAGUUAGGUCACAAUCAGCCAAAAAGCGCAAUUUGCAACAAUUGGAAAAUUAAGGGGUUUUAUUGCCAUAAAAAAAAGUAGGAAGGGGUUAUUUAAAAUACCUUAUUUUGCAGUCCGAUUAAACAACAGUGGGUUUAGUGCACUUAGGCCUAUUUUUAAAUGAGGAAAAUAAACACAAAAAGGUUUAAAACCUAUGAUAAAAGUGUGUCAGUUUUUAAUGAUUUUAAGUCAUUUAUUUAAAGUUAGAAAAUUUAUGAAACUAUUAAAAUAUUUUUUAAUAACUAUUAUGUACUAGUAGUAAAAUUAUGAGUUAGAAUUAUAUGACUUAAAUUAUGAUUUUAAAUUGUGUAUCAUAUUUGAUACUAUCUAUUUACAUUUGUUAGUAGGUACUCAACCACCACUAACUGUGCCCAUGGUCAAAUGGUUAGUAAAAUAGGAUUAAAAAAAAAAAAAAAAAAAAAAAAAAAAAAA
This is a long non-coding RNA of Cornus florida, 3156 nucleotides long. RefSeq lists it as uncharacterized. The transcript has 2 exons. The record is from RefSeq and is a predicted model, not a curated record. NCBI's taxonomy places the organism in Eukaryota, Viridiplantae, Streptophyta, Magnoliopsida, Cornales, Cornaceae.